Molecule: ribosomal RNA, 354 nt
Filed under: Streptococcus sp. oral taxon C14
Lineage: Bacteria; Bacillati; Bacillota; Bacilli; Lactobacillales; Streptococcaceae
Description: bacterial SSU rRNA
Rfam family: Bacterial small subunit ribosomal RNA
Source: RNAcentral
GGGAAUCUAGCUUAUGGAGGGGGAUAACUACCGGGAAACUGUAGCUAAUACCGCGUAAUAUCGAAAGAUUAAAGUGUGGGACCUUCGGGCCACAUGCCAUAGGAUGAGCCCAAGUGGGAUUAGGUAGUUGGUGAGGUAAAGGCUCACCAAGCCGACGAUCUCUAGCUGGUCUGAGAGGAUGACCAGCCACACUGGGACUGAGACACGGCCCAGACUCCUACGGGAGGCAGCAGUGGGGAAUAUUGCGCAAUGGGGGCAACCCUGACGCAGCCAUGCCGCGUGAAUGAAGAAGGCCUUCGGGUUGUAAAGUUCUUUCGGUAGUGAGGAAGGCAUUUAGUUUAAUAGACUAGGUGA